UUCGUAGGCGGCAUAUCAAGUCUGGUGUUAAAGCCUGGGGCUCAACCCCAGUUCGGCACUGGAUACUGGUAAGCUAGAAUGAGGUAGAGGUAAUGGGAAUUCCUGGUGUAGCGGUGAAAUGCGUAGAUAUCAGGAGGAACACCGGUGGCGUAAGCGCAUUACUGGGCCUUUAUUGACGCUGAGGAACGAAAGCCGGGGGAGCAAAUGGGAUUAGAUACCCCAGUAGUCCCGGCCGUAAACGAUGGAUACUAGGUGUUGCGGGUAUCGACCCCUGCAGUGCCGUAGCUAACGCGAUAAGUAUCCCGCCUGGGGAGUACGCACGCAAGUGUGAA
This 332-nucleotide ribosomal RNA is filed under the name uncultured bacterium. RNAcentral's name for it is "bacterial SSU rRNA". It matches the Rfam family "Bacterial small subunit ribosomal RNA", at positions 568 to 898 of the family's 1533-position model. The record is from RNAcentral.